CAGACAUCGGCACCGGCUUCCACCUGCUUCCUCUCCCCCACAGACCCCAAGGCUCCACCCACUCGGGCACCCACAGACGCCUCGGUCCUCUCCUCUUAUUCCAGAUACCGAACCAUACACAGACCUGAUUUUCUAGUGACCCCACCGCGACCUCCUACAAGCCGCACUUCCGCAAAUUCUCCUGCUGCGCCCAUGCCCAGCCUCCGCGCCCGGGGAUGGCGGCCGACGAGGGCCAGAGGCGUUUCUACCGAGAACAGUCAUUUGGACUUCCGGCUUUUCCUGGAGUCAAUAUGUCCGCGCCCAUUUGGCCAGCGGGUCUGCCAGGCGGCUGCCCUUCGGUAAUCGACCUACGGAAGGCGAAGUGGUCGUUUUGGCCAGAGUAGCCAGAACUCCAAGCUCAAACUUGCCAUGUUUCGAUGCUACUAUCCAGCUAUCAAGACUCGAGCAGGGAUCCCUGGGUGGCGCAGCGGUUUGGCGCCUGCCUUUGGCCCAGGGCGCGAUCCUGGAGACCCGGGAUCGAAUCCCACGUCGGGCUCCCGGUGCAUGGAGCCUGCUUCUCUCUCUGCCUGUGUCUCUGCCUCUCUCUCUCUCUGUGACUAUCAUAAAUAAAUAAAAAUUAAAAAAAAAAAAGACUCAAGCAAGCUAUCAAGCAAGGCUGUCUAAAAAUAGCACAAAA
Molecule: long non-coding RNA, 676 nt
Organism: Canis lupus familiaris (dog)
Lineage: Eukaryota; Metazoa; Chordata; Mammalia; Carnivora; Canidae
Exons: 2
Source: RefSeq, a predicted model, not a curated record